UCAUUACUGCAAUUACAACAGGUAAGCAGUGUGGAUUAUGUAGAUGGGGGUUAAAGAAACGACCCAGCGGCCUGCAGAGCAGGGAAGCCUUGUACUGCCGCUAAACGCUUCAGACUGAGGUGGAGAUGGUGCCACAGCAGACAUAAGCACGGUUGACUAGGAUUCACCUGUUGUCCAUCAUCAUUAUCAUUCAUUAGUGGAGCUUCUGUGGGACAGCACGUGGACUUCACCGCUGGUGAUCAUCGUGGAGGACAUGACCAGGAGCAAGGUCCCCAACCAUGGCGGACGGGUUGUUUGCGGUCAGCAAGGCCUACUUUGAGCACCUGGGCACCUACGACACGGGCACGGAGAUGUGUGGCGGAGAAAACCUGGAGCUCUCCUUUCGG
Long non-coding RNA from Dunckerocampus dactyliophorus (ringed pipefish), 386 nucleotides. RefSeq lists it as uncharacterized. The transcript has 3 exons. Lineage: Eukaryota; Metazoa; Chordata; Actinopteri; Syngnathiformes; Syngnathidae. The record is from RefSeq and is a predicted model, not a curated record.